Molecule: long non-coding RNA, 266 nt
Filed under: Brassica napus (rape)
Lineage: Eukaryota; Viridiplantae; Streptophyta; Magnoliopsida; Brassicales; Brassicaceae
Description: long non-coding RNA (BNAP_LNC010429)
Source: RNAcentral
UUUGAUCUCUGAUUUAUGUCGUCCACUUGUGUGCUCUUAUGUUCCAAGGUCAGUUCAACUGCAAGUGCAGCCGGGUAAUUGGAAAGAAGGCGAUGAUUAAUCAGUUCCAUUUUCAACAAUUGACUGUCAAAUGUUAGUUUGUCUUUUGGUAUAUAUCAUCCAUCUAUAAUUUAACCCAAAUUUUUAUUUGUUUUAAGUUAAGUGGUACAUUAUUUCUAAGUUUUUCUCAAUUGUUAUAAUUUUAACAUAUGGUAUAUUUUUCCCAA